This 253-nucleotide ribosomal RNA is filed under the name uncultured bacterium. RNAcentral describes it as "partial 16S ribosomal RNA". It matches the Rfam family "Bacterial small subunit ribosomal RNA", at positions 524 to 776 of the family's 1533-position model. RNAcentral also lists the same sequence under 1 other name. The record is from RNAcentral.
UACAGAGGUCCCAAGCGUUGUUCGGAUUCACUGGGCGUAAAGGGUGCGUAGGUGGCGAGGUAAGUCUGAUGUGAAAUCUCUGAGCUUAACUCAGAAACGGCAUCGGAUACUCUCUCGCUAGAGGGUUUGAGGGGGGACUGGAAUUCUCGGUGUAGCAGUGAAAUGCGUAGAUAUCGAGAGGAACACCAGUGGCGAAGGCGGGUCCCUGGAAAACUCCUGACACUGAGGCACGAAAGCUAGGGGAGCAAACAGG